UACGUAGGGUGCGAGCGUUGUCCGGAUUUAUUGGGCGUAAAGAGCUUGUAGGCGGCUCGUCACGUCGGGUGUGAAAACUCGCGGCUCAACCGCGAGCCUGCACCCGAUACGGGCGGGCUGGAGUUCGGCAGGGGAGACUGGAAUUCCUGGUGUAGCGGUGGAAUGCGCAGAUAUCAGGAGGAACACCGGUGGCGAAGGCGGGUCUCUGGGCCGAUACUGACGCUGAGAAGCGAAGCGUGGGGAGCGAACAGG
Molecule: ribosomal RNA, 252 nt
Filed under: uncultured bacterium
Lineage: Bacteria
Description: partial 16S ribosomal RNA
Rfam family: Bacterial small subunit ribosomal RNA
Source: RNAcentral